This 240-nucleotide long non-coding RNA is filed under the name Nicotiana benthamiana. RNAcentral's name for it is "long non-coding RNA (NBEN_LNC006221)". The record is from RNAcentral. Lineage: Eukaryota; Viridiplantae; Streptophyta; Magnoliopsida; Solanales; Solanaceae.
CAAAUAAUUCCAUCUCAAUAUUAUUGAUGUGCGGUGUAUAUUUUGAUUAACACCAUAAAGCACAAAGAUGGGUUCUCAAAGUUGAGGAAGAAAAUUAGUUUUUCUAACAUGAGGGGGAGACAUGAUAAGCAGUUGAGAAAACGUUACGUGGAAUGAAUUAUCAUUUGUACAACUAGAUGCUCGAAUAAAAUAAUAUGAACUUGAAGUUCAUAAAAAGAUAAUUCAUUUGCAACAUAUUGC